CUCACUUCCUGCUAUAUCCGGCCGUCACCACUAAGGACGCUACCGACACCACCAACUCCAGGGACCCUCCACAUCGAUGCCAGGGACCCCUGCCUGCCCCGAUGGACAGACUACAGACCAAAGCCAAGUGCUAUGUUCAGCCAAUCAAUGGCCACAGCGGUGACCUGCCUCAUCUAGUGAUUGGCUGAGUGGGUUUUUCCUGUGUGUCCAGAUGGAGGACAAAAAGCUCUACGCAAGCAGGACCGGCACCAGAGGGGGAUCAGCAGCAGAAAUGAAUAAUACACUGGAGAAGAAUCGUCUGGUCGAAUGCUGUGGAUUAAUUAAAAAAAGAUGAUGUUCUCAGGAUAAAUAUAAAAUAUUAAAAUGGAUGUGAACAGAGACAAGACAUUCGGGGGCCGUGUCAUGAAGACAAGUGGCGUCCGUAUACCCCAACAGUAUUCCAGGAGAUGGACCUAAUCCACUCUCAAAGCAGAAUAGAACAGAGGAUGUAAAAAACAUAUACGUUCUGCGUGAUGUGAACACAACCUAAGACUUGGCAAUCUCGCAACUCAGGCAAUAGGAGUUUUACACAGACACCCUCAUACAGGACAAACCUACAGCCUCCCCCCACUGUCCAUAGACAUAAAUUACCCUGGACGUCACAUGCUAAGCAUAGUGCGCCAAAAAAAUGCUUCCCGAGAAUGCGGAUUGCACAACGCUUGAAAACCACGGACAGGUGUUUUCUACUUCUGCUAGAAAGUGAACAUCUUCAGAAACCCGUAAAGAAUCGCAGGCAUUCGCCUCAAUCUGCCGGAGCUGAUGUUUUUAUCAGAGAUUCAAGGACUUCCCGCAUUCUGCUGAGCUCCGGCCUUCGGCUGAAUCUCAAUGAAAAUAGCCGAUGAUUUUGGGCCUGAACUUUGAAACCUGAACUUAUGUACUUGGGGGAUUAAAACUGUUUGUGUAACCUUGGGCCUGUACUGUAACAGCACAUCUAUGUACCCAGCGGAUUGUAAAUUGGAUUUUUAGCAUUUCACCUUGUACGUUUUAUUUUUAUAACUUCCCAAAAAAAA
Molecule: long non-coding RNA, 1049 nt
Organism: Hyla sarda
Lineage: Eukaryota; Metazoa; Chordata; Amphibia; Anura; Hylidae
Exons: 5
Source: RefSeq, a predicted model, not a curated record